This 550-nucleotide ribosomal RNA is filed under the name Chryseobacterium sp. BAN97. RNAcentral describes it as "bacterial SSU rRNA". It matches the Rfam family "Bacterial small subunit ribosomal RNA", at positions 142 to 692 of the family's 1533-position model. The record is from RNAcentral. Lineage: Bacteria; Pseudomonadati; Bacteroidota; Flavobacteriia; Flavobacteriales; Weeksellaceae.
GAUAGCCUUUCGAAAGGAAGAUUAAUACCCCAUAAUAUAUUGAUUGGCAUCAAUUGAUAUUGAAAACUGAGGUGGAUAAAGAUGGGCACGCGCAAGAUUAGAUAGUUGGUGAGGUAACGGCUCACCAAGUCGAUGAUCUUUAGGGGGCCUGAGAGGGUGAUCCCCCACACUGGUACUGAGACACGGACCAGACUCCUACGGGAGGCAGCAGUGAGGAAUAUUGGACAAUGGGUUAGCGCCUGAUCCAGCCAUCCCGCGUGAAGGACGACGGCCCUAUGGGUUGUAAACUUCUUUUGUACAGGGAUAAACCUAUCUACGUGUAGAUAGCUGAAGGUACUGUACGAAUAAGCACCGGCUAACUCCGUGCCAGCAGCCGCGGUAAUACGGAGGGUGCAAGCGUUAUCCGGAUUUAUUGGGUUUAAAGGGUCCGUAGGCGGAUGUGUAAGUCAGUGGUGAAAUCUCACAGCUUAACUGUGAAACUGCCAUUGAUACUGCAUGUCUUGAGUAAGGUAAAAUGGCUGGAAUAAGUAGUGUAGCGGUGAAAUGCAUA